Molecule: ribosomal RNA, 255 nt
Filed under: uncultured bacterium
Lineage: Bacteria
Description: partial 16S ribosomal RNA
Rfam family: Bacterial small subunit ribosomal RNA
Source: RNAcentral
CCUACGGGGGGCAGCAGUAGGGAAUCUUCCACAAUGGACGAAAGUCUGAUGGAGCAACGCCGCGUGAGUGAAGAAGGGUUUCGGCUCGUAAAGCUCUGUUGGUAGUGAAGAAAGAUAGAGGUAGUAACUGGCCUUUAUUUGACGGUAAUUACUUAGAAAGUCACGGCUAACUACGUGCCAGCAGCCGCGGUAAUACGUAGGUGGCAAGCGUUGUCCGGAUUUAUUGGGCGUAAAGCGAGUGUAGGCGGGUUCAUA